This 468-nucleotide ribosomal RNA is filed under the name uncultured bacterium. RNAcentral's name for it is "SSU rRNA". It matches the Rfam family "Bacterial small subunit ribosomal RNA", at positions 26 to 518 of the family's 1533-position model. The record is from RNAcentral.
AGGACGAACGCUGGCGGCGUGCUUAACACAUGCAAGUCGAACGAUGAAGCCCAGCUUGCUGGGUGGAUUAGUGGCGAACGGGUGAGUAACACGUGAGUAACCUGCCCUUGACUCUGGGAUAAGCACUGGAAACGGUGUCUAAUACCGGAUAUAUCAGCUGGCCGCAUGGUCUGGUUGUGGAAAGAAUUUUGGUCAAGGAUGGACUCGCGGCCUAUCAGGUAGUUGGUGAGGUAAUGGCUCACCAAGCCUACGACGGGUAGCCGGCCUGAGAGGGUGACCGGCCACACUGGGACUGAGACACGGCCCAGACUCCUACGGGAGGCAGCAGUGGGGAAUAUUGCACAAUGGGCGAAAGCCUGAUGCAGCAACGCCGCGUGAGGGAUGACGGCCUUCGGGUUGUAACUCCUUUAGUGGGAACGAAAUGACGGUACCACAGAAAAGCCCGGCUAACUACGUGCCAGCAGCCGC